This 205-nucleotide transfer-messenger RNA is filed under the name Maribacter sp. Its description in RNAcentral is "partial transfer-messenger RNA". It matches the Rfam family "transfer-messenger RNA", at positions 155 to 374 of the family's 374-position model. Rfam says of the family: Bacterial tmRNA, also known as 10Sa RNA or SsrA, is named for its dual tRNA and mRNA-like properties. Its role is to liberate the mRNA from a stalled ribosome. Lineage: Bacteria; Pseudomonadati; Bacteroidota; Flavobacteriia; Flavobacteriales; Flavobacteriaceae. The record is from RNAcentral.
CUGGUAUACGGCGUUCAGCAUAGAGGCAUCGUAAAAGUAAACCUAGAGAUGAUAAUGCUUUGGUAUCUUCUCGAAAUUAAAAAGCUAAGUUAUAAGUAUGCAGUUUUCAGUGAGCUUAUGAUCGAAAACCAAAUGUAAACUAAGCAUGUAGAAAGCUCAUUUGUAGCUUGUUUGGACGCGGGUUCGAGUCCCGCCGACUCCACAA